This is a non-coding RNA of Acanthosepion pharaonis, 112 nucleotides long. Lineage: Eukaryota; Metazoa; Mollusca; Cephalopoda; Sepiida; Sepiidae. The record is from the annotation of a GenBank genome assembly.
UACGGCUUUAUCACGUUGAACACCGGUUCUCGUAAAAUCAUCAAAGUUAAGCAACUUUGAGCUUGCUCAGUACCUAGAUGGGUGACCACUUGGGAAUACCAGAUGCUGUAAG